AUUGAACGCUGGCGGCAGGCCUAACACAUGCAAGUCGAGCGGAUGAAGGGAGCUUGCUCCUGGAUUCAGCGGCGGACGGGUGAGUAAUGCCUAGGAAUCUGCCUGGUAGUGGGGGAUAACGUCCGGAAACGGGCGCUAAUACCGCAUACGUCCUGAGGGAGAAAGUGGGGGAUCUUCGGACCUCACGCUAUCAGAUGAGCCUAGGUCGGAUUAGCUAGUUGGUGGGGUAAAGGCCUACCAAGGCGACGAUCCGUAACUGGUCUGAGAGGGUGACCAGUCACACUGGAACUGAGACACGGUCCAGACUCCUACGGGAGGCAGCAGUGGGGAAUAUUGGACAAUGGGCGAAAGCCUGAUCCAGCCAUGCCGCGUGUGUGAAGAAGGUCUUCGGAUUGUAAAGCACUUUAAGUUGGGAGGAAGGGCAGUAAGUUAAUACCUUGCUGUUUUGACGUUACCAACAGAAUAAGCACCGGCUAACUUCGUG
Molecule: ribosomal RNA, 484 nt
Filed under: uncultured bacterium
Lineage: Bacteria
Description: partial 16S ribosomal RNA
Rfam family: Bacterial small subunit ribosomal RNA
Source: RNAcentral